This is a non-coding RNA of 381 nucleotides. It matches the Rfam family "Bacterial RNase P class A". From Rfam's summary of the family: Ribonuclease P (RNase P) is a ubiquitous endoribonuclease, found in archaea, bacteria and eukarya as well as chloroplasts and mitochondria. The record is from Rfam.
GCAGUAUCCCGGUCUGUCGCUGGCGUCGCUCUGAGUGCGCGAGAGGAAAGUCCGGGCAGCACAGAGCACUCCGCUCCCGAAAAUAGGAGCUGUCGGUGACGACAGGUGUUGGCAGAAGAGAACGACCGCCUGCCCCCACGGGCCGGUAAGGGUGAGAAGGUGGUGUAAGAGACCACCGGUUGGCCGGGUGAUCGGCCAAGCCGUGCCUUCCGGAGGCUGCAAGUUCAUGUAAACCGCAGUUUGAGGGUUGCUCGCCCGACCUCCCUUGCGGAGACUGCGGAGGGUAGAAUGCUAAAGCCUCGGGGCAACUCGUGGAUUAGAUAAAUGACAGACAGCCGCCUUGGCGGCCAACAGAACCCGGCUUACGGGGAUGCUGCUUUU